This is a non-coding RNA of Podarcis lilfordi (Lilford's wall lizard), 73 nucleotides long. The record is from the annotation of a GenBank genome assembly. Lineage: Eukaryota; Metazoa; Chordata; Lepidosauria; Squamata; Lacertidae.
GAUGGGGUAGCUCAGUCGGCAGAGUGUGAGACUCUUAAUCUCAGGGUUGGGUGUUCGAGUCCCACGCUGGGCA